UACGUAGGUGGCAAGCGUUGUCCGGAUUUACUGGGCGUAAAGAGCGCGCAGGCGGUCGUUCAAGUCGAGUGUGAAAGCCCCCGGCUCAACUGGGGAGGGUCACUCGAUACUGAUCGACUCGAAGGCAGAAGAGGGAAGCGGAAUUCCCGGUGUAGUGGUGAAAUGCGUAGAUAUCGGGAGGAACACCUGAGGCGAAGGCGGGCUACUGGGCCGAUACUGACGCUGAUGCGCGAAAGCCAGGGGAGCAAACGGG
Molecule: ribosomal RNA, 253 nt
Filed under: uncultured bacterium
Lineage: Bacteria
Description: partial 16S ribosomal RNA
Rfam family: Bacterial small subunit ribosomal RNA
Source: RNAcentral